This 73-nucleotide transfer RNA is filed under the name Stegodyphus mimosarum. It matches the Rfam family "tRNA". Rfam says of the family: Transfer RNA (tRNA) molecules are approximately 80 nucleotides in length. Lineage: Eukaryota; Metazoa; Arthropoda; Arachnida; Araneae; Eresidae. The record is from Rfam by way of RNAcentral.
GCCUUCGUGGUAUAGUGGUCAGCACGCUCGACGCAAAAUCGAGAAGUUUCUGGUUUGAGUCCCGGUGAAGGCA